UUUAAUGCUGCCGCCACCACAGUUUCUCUGCAGUCCCGCGUGCGAGGUCACGAUAUGCGCCUGGUUUCGUAGGCGAUUUGAUGAACUACAAAUUUCAUCGUGGGUAUGCAGGCUUUAGGGAAGUAACUCACCUUUACACCAGAGCAAGAGCGAGGUGCUCGCGAUGCAGAAGGACGGAAUUAUUUCAGCAUUUCUAUGCGUGUUCAUAAUUGCCCCGUUCCUAUCACACGGUCGGACUGCCUCGAAAGUCACCCCUGACAUGACGAAGUUUCUGAAUACAAGCGAUCCAAUAUGGUCUUACCUAACGACAUCACAGAAGAGAGAGUAUGAUUGCAAAGUGGACGUUAUUGAUGAUAUAUUCAACGAGGACGUGCUUUUCCGGAGAUACCUUGCUUAUCGAAAAGUCAUAAUCAGUGAAUGGGUGCAGUUUCUCGAUGGAGACAUACUAUAAAAGCGCUCGAUACCAAACCGAGAUCAAGGCAUACAACGCAAUGAACGUGAGCUACCGAGAACAUGGGACUCCUUUAGACAGCGAAACGUUAGUAUACCAGAGCGCGGACAAUAUGUGCGGUAUAUUUGCAGUUGAAGACACGGUAAAUGAUGGACAACAAAUCACGUAUGAACUGCGGGUGAAAAAUUCUUCAAGAGAAGCAGCCAAUCGUACUGACUGUUUUCAAACGUUCACUAAAAUUGCCAGAAAACAAGCUAAAGUCACGUACCUACCAGACUGCCAAGACAUACUGAUAGGAAUUAACAAUAUCAUCCCUGGCGGUAGCCCAGAUAAUGGAGCCGUGGGCUUAAUUUACUUUAUGAACGCAGAACCUCCUGUCCACACUC
Rhipicephalus sanguineus (brown dog tick) is the source of this 837-nucleotide long non-coding RNA. RefSeq lists it as uncharacterized. The record is from RefSeq and is a predicted model, not a curated record. The transcript has 6 exons. NCBI's taxonomy places the organism in Eukaryota, Metazoa, Arthropoda, Arachnida, Ixodida, Ixodidae.